RNAcentral lists this long non-coding RNA (230 nucleotides) under Carica papaya (papaya). RNAcentral's name for it is "long non-coding RNA (CPAP_LNC004754)". Lineage: Eukaryota; Viridiplantae; Streptophyta; Magnoliopsida; Brassicales; Caricaceae. The record is from RNAcentral.
GGUAAAAUUAUGUCUAUCUUGUUUUAAUCUCAUUUUCUCUUGAAUACACUUGCUAGUAAGGUCAUUUAUGUUCAACUGCUCAUUAUUAGUGUUAUAGUGAAUUUUGAAUGGAGCAAAUUGCGAAGGAAGUGAGUUUAGGACAAAUUGAACAAGAAUGACUCAUCCAUGUUCAUGUCCAAUGCCUUAAGUAUUGCAGCAUUUUCAACCAUGUUCAAAAUGUGUUGUUGAAU